AGAUUAUUUGAGGUUAGAUGUUCCCCAAUUUGAGACUGGUGAUGACCCUUUGGAGUAUCUUAGAAUGGUCAAAAUGAUAACUGAUGAGUUGGGCGUCAGUGAGAGUAGAGCCAUCCAGAUGGCAGGGGUCACAGUGAAAUGUGAAAAGACAAGGGCAUGGUUCAACCAGUAUGUGAACCUGAGGGUAGAAAGCUUAUCCUGGGAACAAUUUGCUAUAGAGUUUGUAGGAUGGGCUUGUCCAGAUAGCUCAAGGGAGCAUAAAGAGAGUGAUUGUGAGCAGCCAGGGCAGACAG
Molecule: long non-coding RNA, 293 nt
Filed under: Manihot esculenta (cassava)
Lineage: Eukaryota; Viridiplantae; Streptophyta; Magnoliopsida; Malpighiales; Euphorbiaceae
Description: long non-coding RNA (MESC_LNC010240)
Source: RNAcentral